Pipra filicauda (Wire-tailed manakin) is the source of this 956-nucleotide long non-coding RNA. RefSeq lists it as uncharacterized. The transcript is spliced from 3 exons. Lineage: Eukaryota; Metazoa; Chordata; Aves; Passeriformes; Pipridae. The record is from RefSeq and is a predicted model, not a curated record.
GGGAGCUGGAUCUCCCUCCAGCUGCAGCAGCCAGGGGAGGGUUCUUCCUUGUGCAGCCCAGUGGCUUCUGCUCAGGCUGGCCCAGAGUGGGGCUGGGGCAGGUUCUCCAGGGAACUGGAGCCAGCCCUGAACGGGGCUCUGGAGAGCAGGGAGCUGCAGGGACUGAGGUUUGCAAAGCUGGGCUGAAGUUUGUCAAAGCAGCAGAACAUUCUCAUUCCUGUGGGUCUGUGGAGUCCGUGUUGGUGCCCAGGAGAACUGGGUCAGACUGGGCUUUGUGCUCCGAGAGCUGCCCCCCUAAAUGUGGCAGGCUGUGUGUGCUGGCAAGGAAGUGCUGUCCCAGAGGCUGAUGGUUUCUGUCUCCAGGUGUGCCCAGGACACUGCCAAUGCCCAGGGAUCUGCUCUGGGUCCAGACUGUCCGUGCUGGAGGGCCCUGGUGGCUGCAGUCCCUGAGCCCGCAGAGACAGAGAGAGCCCCGGCCCGAGGGGCCUUUGGCCCCUUGUCCUGAAUUUGGGAUGCUGGAAUUGCCUCUCUGGGUGUGUGCUGAGCUCUGGCUGCAGGGGACUGUCAGGCCUUGGUGGCUCUGUUCCCUGCUGUCCAUUCCCUGGCCUGAAUUCCUUGCAGCUCCCAGCUGGGGAAACCUGGGAUAACAUGGCAGGGACAGAGGUGACAUUUGUAGCUGCCAACUUGGGGUAAUUUCGAGGGGCCCCAGCGAGUGUUUCUGAAGGAAAAGGUGAGGUGCUGCAGAGGGGAGGGAGGUGGCAUUUUGGAGGGGUCCCACUGAGGGGGGAGUGGAGAGCCUGGGGCUGGAGUGUGAGUUAUUAAACAGGGAAGAAGAGAAGGAUGCUUGGGAGGGAAACACUCAGGGAAUGUGUAGGGAUGGAAUGGAAACUUGGGGCGUCAGGAAGAGAAAAUGGGUGAUGUAGAUGAAGGGAAAUGUUGGGUGUAAGAGUUGAUCU